GCGAAAGCUAUUCAAACGUGGUGUUGUAUCACAAGGUGCGAUAAUUGCUCGAAGACAUUGGCAGUUAAGAUAUUUUAGCCCCAUGAAAAUGUGGGUUAGAUGUAAGAGUAGAAGUGUAGGGAUUUGUACGUAGUGUUAAUGUAGCUGUGCAUUGUCAAUUCUGAGUUCCAAAAUCUCCAAGCACUUAUCGCACCCUGCGAUACAACAUACACAGUUGCAAGAUGGAA
This 227-nucleotide microRNA precursor is filed under the name Physcomitrium patens. RNAcentral describes it as "Physcomitrella patens miR1076 stem-loop (ppt-MIR1076)". The record is from miRBase by way of RNAcentral. Lineage: Eukaryota; Viridiplantae; Streptophyta; Bryopsida; Funariales; Funariaceae.